AGAAGAAUUUAUUUUUUUUGUGAUUUUAUUGCUCUUGGUGGUAGAAUUAGGAUUUCUAAUUCUCAACAAAACCUUCAUGCAAUCGCGUUGCAGGUAUUGAGGUUUAGGGUUUCUUCUUGGUACGAGUAGCUUAAUUCCUUAGAUAUUGAAUUUUUUUUCUCGUAGUUAGGCGACGACCAAAGUGGGAUUUUACGCCAUUGACAGUAAAGCUAAACUGGAUGCUUCAUUAAUUGCUAUAUUUUUGAAUCUUGAAAUAACUUGGAUUAAGGUUUGUGUAGCAUUUUGUGCUGAUGGCAGAUAGCAAAGGAUUUGUUACGGCCAAUGAUCACUCCAGAAUCGAUCCAGAUGCAUCCAGUAACAAUGCUAUAUGAAAUAUGCCAAAACAAAGGUUGGAAAGUUCACAUAAAAGAUAUGUGGAGUAAAAAAACUGGUGAAAUUCAAGUUUUUGUGGAUGGAAAAUUUGCUGGAGAGGGAAGGUACGAAGGCAAGAAAUUUAUUGCCGUUAAUAGAGCAGCACACGAUGCAAACCAGCAGAUUGUAAGAAGGCUUGCUCAAGAAAAUACACAGUGCACAUCCUCUCCAAGUUGCCACCUCUAGACGACUCUUUGUUAAGGUUCUUGAAUAGCAAUUGAAUCUAAUUAAUAUGUCACACUUGUAUACGCAAUAUAAGUCUAGACGACUCUAAAAGUUGUGUUUCCUCCUUAAACUGGCUGCAUUCUUCUGUACUUUGAAAUGGACAACAUAACCAUGAUCUUGUCGUCAUUAAUUGCUAAUGAAGGUGUUUCGUUCUCACUGAUAGUUGUUCGUUAAAAUUCCGCAGGCGUACGGGUUCGUUGUACAAGU
Molecule: long non-coding RNA, 843 nt
Filed under: Olea europaea subsp. europaea
Lineage: Eukaryota; Viridiplantae; Streptophyta; Magnoliopsida; Lamiales; Oleaceae
Source: RNAcentral